Loxodonta africana (African savanna elephant) is the source of this 71-nucleotide transfer RNA. It matches the Rfam family "tRNA". Rfam says of the family: Transfer RNA (tRNA) molecules are approximately 80 nucleotides in length. Lineage: Eukaryota; Metazoa; Chordata; Mammalia; Proboscidea; Elephantidae. The record is from Rfam.
GCAGUGGUGGCUCAGUGGUAGAAUGCUCAUCUUCCAUGUGGGAGACCCAGGUUCAAUUCCCGGCCAAGGCA